GAGUUUGAUCGUGGCUCAGGAUGAACGCUGGCGGCGUGCUUAACACAUGCAAGUCGAACGAAGCGCCUUAUUUGAUUUUCUUCGGAACUGAAGAUUUGGUGACUGAGUGGCGGACGGGUGAGUAACGCGUGGGUAACCUGCCCUGUACAGGGGGAUAACAAUCAGAAAUGACUGCUAAUACCGCAUAAGACCACAGCACCGCAUGGUGCAGGGGUAAAAACUCCGGUGGUACAGGAUGGACCCGCGUCUGAUUAGCUGGUUGGUGAGGUAACGGCUCACCAAGGCGACGAUCAGUAGCCGGCUUGAGAGAGUGAACGGCCACAUUGGGACUGAGACACGGCCCAAACUCCUACGGGAGGCAGCAGUGGGGAAUAUUGCACAAUGGGGGAAACCCUGAUGCAGCAACGCCGCGUGAGUGAAGAAGUAUUUCGGUAUGUAAAGCUCUAUCAGCAGGGAAGAAAGUGACGGUACCUGACUAAGAAGCCCGGCUAACUACGUGGC
This 501-nucleotide ribosomal RNA is filed under the name uncultured microorganism. RNAcentral describes it as "bacterial SSU rRNA". It matches the Rfam family "Bacterial small subunit ribosomal RNA", at positions 9 to 509 of the family's 1533-position model. The record is from RNAcentral.